GCCGGGGUGGCGAAACUGGCUAGACGCGAGGGACUUAAAAUCCCUUGGGGGCAACCCCAUCUGGGUUCGAUUCCCAGCCCCGGCA
RNAcentral lists this transfer RNA (85 nucleotides) under Gemmatimonadota bacterium. Its description in RNAcentral is "Gemmatimonadetes bacterium (groundwater metagenome) tRNA-Leu". It matches the Rfam family "tRNA". From Rfam's summary of the family: Transfer RNA (tRNA) molecules are approximately 80 nucleotides in length. Lineage: Bacteria; Pseudomonadati; Gemmatimonadota. The record is from RNAcentral.